CGCUGGCGGCAUGCCUUACACAUUGGAUGAGUUUUUGGAUAGGCUCAGAACGAACGCUGGCGGCAGGCCUAACACAUGCAAGUCGAGCGCACCUUCGGGUGAGCGGCGGACGGGUGAGUAUCGCGUGGGAACGUGCCCUUCUCUACGGAAUAGUCCUGGGAAACUGGGGGUAAUACCGUAUACGCCCUUUGGGGGAAAGAUUUAUCGGAGAAGGAUCGGCCCGCGUUGGAUUAGGUAGUUGGUGGGGUAAUGGCUCACCAAGCCGACGAUCCAUAGCUGGUUUGAGAGGAUGAUCAGCCACACUGGGACUGAGACACGGCCCAGACUCCUACGGGAGGCAGCAGUGGGGAAUCUUAGACAAUGGGGGCAACCCUGAUCUAGCCAUGCCGCGUGAGUGAUGAUAGGCCUUAGGGUUGUAAAGCUCUUUCAGCUGUGAAGAUAAUUA
This 445-nucleotide ribosomal RNA is filed under the name uncultured Paracoccus sp. RNAcentral describes it as "bacterial SSU rRNA". It matches the Rfam family "Bacterial small subunit ribosomal RNA", at positions 1 to 454 of the family's 1533-position model. The record is from RNAcentral. Lineage: Bacteria; Pseudomonadati; Pseudomonadota; Alphaproteobacteria; Rhodobacterales; Paracoccaceae.